GGUUAAGCUACAAAGAGCACACGGAGGAUGCCUAGGCGCCAGGAGCCGACGAAGGACGUGGCGAACAACGAUAAAGCCUCGGGGAGCUGUAAGCAAGCUUUGAUCCGGGGAUGUCCGAAUGGGGAAACCCGGCUGUCUUCAUCGACAGUCACUACUCACUGAAUUCAUAGGUGAGUGAGAGGCAGACCAGGGGAACUGAAACAUCUAAGUACCCUGAGGAAGAGAAAACAAUAGUGAUUCCGUCAGUAGCGGCGAGCGAACGCGGAUUAGCCCAAACCAAGGAGCUUGCUCC
Molecule: ribosomal RNA, 292 nt
Filed under: Paenibacillus sp. P2(2022)
Lineage: Bacteria; Bacillati; Bacillota; Bacilli; Caryophanales; Paenibacillaceae
Description: partial 23S ribosomal RNA
Rfam family: Bacterial large subunit ribosomal RNA
Source: RNAcentral